GACGAACGCUGGCGGCGUGCUUAACACAUGCAAGUCGAACGGAAAGGCCCUGCUUUUGUGGGGUGCUCGAGUGGCGAAGGGGUGAGUAACACGUGAGUAACCUGCCCUUUACUUUGGGAUAACUUCAGGCAACUGGGGCUACUACCGGAUAGGAGCUCCUGCUGCAUGGGGGGGGUUGGAACGUUUCGGCGGUGGGGGAUGGACUCGGGGGUUAUCAGCUUGUUGGUGGGGUAGUGGCCUACCAAGGGUUUGACGGGUAGCCGGCCUGAGAGGGUGACCGGGCACAUGAGGACUGAGAGACGGACCAGACGCCUACGGGAGGCAGCAGGGGGGAAUAUUGCACAAUGGGCGGGAGCCUGAUGCAGCAACGCCGCGUGCGGGAUGACGGCCUUCGGGUUGUAAACCGCUUUCGCCUGUGACGAAGCGGGAGUGACGGUAAUGGGUAAAGAAGCACCGGCUAACUACGUG
This 468-nucleotide ribosomal RNA is filed under the name uncultured bacterium. RNAcentral's name for it is "partial 16S ribosomal RNA". It matches the Rfam family "Bacterial small subunit ribosomal RNA", at positions 28 to 507 of the family's 1533-position model. The record is from RNAcentral.